This 1184-nucleotide long non-coding RNA is filed under the name Struthio camelus australis. RNAcentral describes it as "lncRNA (ENSSCUG00000012053.1)". The record is from RNAcentral. Lineage: Eukaryota; Metazoa; Chordata; Aves; Struthioniformes; Struthionidae.
AUGCUGGCUGUUGCGUUCUUGGCUGCAGAGAGUAAAGGAUCACAAAGGCUGAUGAAAGUGCAGGAAAGAUCUGUUUCUCGUGUCGUUGAAGGUAGAGCACCGACUCAGGUGUCGGGGAAGGAGGAGAGAGGACGUUUGAAGAAGGGAGGCCGCGCGGGUGAGGGGAGCCCCGCGUGGAGCCCCUCUGCCGGCUGGCACGCCAACCGAAACGCCCCGGCUUCAGAAGGGACGAGUUCUGAACAAGAUGUGGGCCUGAGCAGCCUAAAUUCAACCGGAGGUCAAAAAUUACAGGCUGUGUGAGCAGGGCGGCUUAUCCCAUGUCAUCUAGUUUUCCUGAUUAAAAAAAAAAAAGGUAAAAAACCCCCCAGAAGUUGCAAGAGUUGCAGGGAGCUGCACUGCCCGUACGUUGCUGUGAGACGGCUCACAGAAGAUGUGAGCGAGAAGUUGCUGUUAAAUAGCAUGUUGCCAGUUUUGUAUAUUUGAAGGUAAUUGUGGGGGAAAGACGAUGAUCUGGAAAACUGAAGGGAGAGAACGCGAAAGCGCCAUGGUGCUUGGGCUUCGUUGCAGGAUGCGACCGACCCUGGAGCGACUCUCCAGCCUCAGCUCCGUGCCGAAGGCGACAGGAGCGUGUUUCCCCCAAGGAGUGUUUAUUACAGGGUUGCACAACUCAGAUCGGGUGCUCUCAAAGACAUAGCGAUGCUGGAGCGGUAACUGGGAUUCAGGAUGCCAGUCAUGCCGAAGAGGCAGAUCCUCAGCUAGGACAAGGGGUCACCUCUGCAGCGAAGGGUCUGGCUUUCUCCAGCACCCGGCCUUUGUGCGGAAGGGGAGGGUCUGCAUCCCGCCGACGCGCUGAGCGCGGCAGCGGGCCGGGCUGGCGCCCGGCGGGCAGCCGCCCNNNNNNNNNNNNNNNNNNNNNNNNNNNNNNNNNNNNNNNNNNNNNNNNNNNNNNAGGAGAUCCCCUGCUAAGGUUGUUGGUAGCCCGGCAGCCCCUUAGGAGCGAAACCGCUGCCAGAGAGAGCACCACCGCGGGACAGGGGAAGCGUGCGAGAGCUGCCUCGGGUCUGCUGCGCGUUAACGGCCGUUCAGCCGGGGAUCGGAUUCGUCACCGCUCGCCAGUUCAUCAGUUCUGUUCGGCUCCAGAUCCUCCACGAGGAGAGGCAGUUUUACUAGGUGGCUUUAAUUGA